UGGGGGAUAUUGGACAAUGGGGGAAACCCUGAUCCAGCGAUGCCGCGUGAGGGAAGAAGGUUUUCGGAUUGUAAACCUCUGUGGACAGGGACGAUAAUGACGGUACCUGUUUAGAAAGCCACGGCUAACUACGUGCCAGCAGCCGCGGUAAUACGUAGGUGGCGAGCGUUGUCCGGAAUUACUGGGUGUAAAGGGAGUGUAGGCGGGAAGGCAAGUCAGAAGUGAAAAUUAUGGGCUUAACCCAUAACCUGCUUUUGAAACUGUUUUUCUUGAGUGAGGCAGAGGCAAGCGGAAUUCCUAGUGUAGCGGUGAAAUGCGUAGAUAUUAGGAGGAACACCAGUGGCGAAGGCGGCUUGCUGGGCCUUUACUGACGCUGAGGCUCGAAAGCGUGGGGAGCAAACAGG
This 404-nucleotide ribosomal RNA is filed under the name uncultured bacterium. RNAcentral describes it as "bacterial SSU rRNA". It matches the Rfam family "Bacterial small subunit ribosomal RNA", at positions 355 to 776 of the family's 1533-position model. The record is from RNAcentral.